Molecule: non-coding RNA, 24 nt
Filed under: Gossypium hirsutum (cotton)
Lineage: Eukaryota; Viridiplantae; Streptophyta; Magnoliopsida; Malvales; Malvaceae
Source: RNAcentral
AAUGAGCUCCGAUGUAUAGAGAGG